RNAcentral lists this ribosomal RNA (253 nucleotides) under uncultured bacterium. Its description in RNAcentral is "partial 16S ribosomal RNA". It matches the Rfam family "Bacterial small subunit ribosomal RNA", at positions 524 to 776 of the family's 1533-position model. The record is from RNAcentral.
UACGGAGGGUGCAAGCGUUAUCCGGAAUCACUGGGCUUAAAGGGUGCGUAGGUGGCUCUGUAAGUCUGUGGUUAAAUCCCCGAGCUUAAUUUGGGAACUGCCGUUGAUACUAUAGAUCUUGAAUAUCGUGGAGGUAAGCGGAAUAUGUCAUGUAGCGGUGAAAUGCUUAGAUAUGACAUAGAACACCAAUUGCGAAGGCAGCUUACUACACGAUCAUUGACACUGAGGCACGAAAGCGUGGGGAGCAAACAGG